GCUACGCGAAAGUGUAGGUAAACACCGAUAGGCAAUAGGCACUGCAAGGUCCUAUUGCUCAAACUCGUGCCUUAGGAUGAGUUGGCGGCCGAUUAGGUAGUUGGCGGGGUAAAGGCCCACCAAGCCUUGGAUCGGUACGGGUCAUGAAAGUGAUAGCCCGGAGAGGGACACUGAGAUACUGGUCCCAGCCCUACGGGGUGCAGCAGGCGCGAAAACUCUCCAAUGUGCGAAAGCGUGAGAGGGGAAUUCCUAGUGCUAUGGGUUUAUCCCAUGGCUUUUGCCAAGUGUAAAUAGCUUGGCGAAUAAGUGGUGGGCAAGACUGGUGCCAGCCGCCGCGGUAACACCAGCGCCACGAGUGGCUAUCACGAUUAUUGGGCCUAAAGCGUCCGUAGUCGGUUCUGUACAUCUUCUGUGAAAUCGUUGCGCUUAACGUAACGGCACGCGGAAGACACGGCAGAGCUUGAGAGCGGGAGGCGUGAAGAGUACUCCGGGGGGACCGGUAAAAUGGUAUAAUCCCCGGAAGACUACCUGUGGCGAAGGCGCUUCACGAGAACGCAUCUGACGAUGAGGGACGAAAGCCAGGGGAGCAAACCGGAUUAGAUACCCGAGUAGUCCUGGCCGUAAACGCUGUCAGCUAGGUGUUGCAUGUUCUUUGUGAACUUGCAGUAUCGGAGCGAAGGUAUUAAGCUGACCGCCUGGGAAGUACGGUCGCAAGACUGAAACUUUA
Molecule: ribosomal RNA, 727 nt
Filed under: uncultured archaeon
Lineage: Archaea
Description: bacterial SSU rRNA
Rfam family: Archaeal small subunit ribosomal RNA
Source: RNAcentral